RNAcentral lists this ribosomal RNA (497 nucleotides) under uncultured bacterium. RNAcentral describes it as "partial 16S ribosomal RNA". It matches the Rfam family "Bacterial small subunit ribosomal RNA", at positions 28 to 507 of the family's 1533-position model. The record is from RNAcentral.
GACGAACGCUGGCGGCGUGCCUAAUACAUGCAAGUUGAGCGAUGAAGAUUGGUGCUUGCCCCAAUUUGAAGAGCAGCGAACGGGUGAGUAACGCGUGGGGAAUCUGCCUUUGAGGGGGGGACAACAUUUGGAAACGAAUGCUAAUACCGCAUAACAACUUUAAACAUAAGUUUUAAGUUUGAAAGAUGCAAUUGCAUCACUCAAAGAUGAUCCCGCGUUGUAUUAGCUAGUUGGUGAGGUAAAGGCUCACCAAGGCGAUGAUACAUAGCCGACCUGAGAGGGUGAUCGGCCACAUUGGGACUGAGACACGGCCCAAACUCCUACGGGAGGCAGCAGUAGGGAAUCUUCGGCAAUGGACGAAAGUCUGACCGAGCAACGCCGCGUGAGUGAAGAAGGUUUUCGGAUCGUAAAACUCUGUUGGUAGAGAAGAACGUUGGUGAGAGUGGAAAGCUCAUCAAGUGACGGUAACUACCCAGAAAGGGACGGCUAACUACGUG